Molecule: transfer RNA, 72 nt
Filed under: Anguilla anguilla (European eel)
Lineage: Eukaryota; Metazoa; Chordata; Actinopteri; Anguilliformes; Anguillidae
Rfam family: tRNA
About the family: Transfer RNA (tRNA) molecules are approximately 80 nucleotides in length. Their secondary structure includes four short double-helical elements and three loops (D, anti-codon, and T loops).
Source: Rfam by way of RNAcentral
GGCGAAAUAGCUCAGCUGGGAGGCGUUAGACUGAAGAUCUGAAGGUCCCUGGUUCAAUCCCGGGUUUCGGCA